GGUGGAUUAGUGGCGCACGGGUGAGUAAUAUAUAGAUAACGUGCCUCUUAGUCUGGGAUAGCCAUUGGAAACGAUGAUUAAUACUAGAUACUCCUUCUAACUCUAAUGUUAGUUGGGAAAGUUUUUCGCUAAGAGAUCGGUCUAUAUCCCAUCAGCUAGUUGGUAGUGUAAGAGACUACCAAGGCAAUGACGGGUAGCGGGUUUGAGAGGAUGAUCCGCCACACUGGUACUGAGACACGGACCAGACUCCUACGGGAGGCAGCAGUGAGGAAUAUUGCACAAUGGAGGAAACUCUGAUGCAGCAACGCCGCGUGGAGGAUGACGCAUUUCGGUGUGUAAACUCCUUUUAUAUGUCAAGAAAAUGACGGUAGCAUAUGAAUAAGCACCGGCUAACUCCGUGCCAGCAGCCGCGGUAAUACGGAGGGUGCAAGCGUUAUUCGGAAUCACUGGGCGUAAAGGACGCGUAGGCGGGAUGCCAAGUCUGAUGU
This 488-nucleotide ribosomal RNA is filed under the name uncultured Campylobacterota bacterium. Its description in RNAcentral is "bacterial SSU rRNA". It matches the Rfam family "Bacterial small subunit ribosomal RNA", at positions 86 to 595 of the family's 1533-position model. The record is from RNAcentral. Lineage: Bacteria; Pseudomonadati; Campylobacterota.